This 301-nucleotide ribosomal RNA is filed under the name uncultured bacterium. Its description in RNAcentral is "partial 16S ribosomal RNA". It matches the Rfam family "Bacterial small subunit ribosomal RNA", at positions 509 to 809 of the family's 1533-position model. The record is from RNAcentral.
CAGUAGCCACGGUAAUACAGAGGAUGCAAGCGUUAUCCGGAAUGAUUGGGCGUAAAGCGUCUGUAGGUGGCUUUUCAAGUCCGCCGUCAAAUCCCAGGGCUCAACCCUGGAUAGGCGGUGGAAACUACCAAGCUGGGGCACGGUAGGGGCAGAGGGAAUUUCCGGUGGAGCGGUGAUAUGCGUUGAGAUCGGAAAGAACACCAACGGCGAAAGCACUCUGCUGGGCCGACACUGACACUGAGAGACGAAAGCUAGGGGAGCAAAUGGGAUUAGAUACCCCUGUAGUCCCUGUCUCUUAUAA